UACGGAGGAUCCAAGCGUUAUCCGGAUUCAUUGGGUUUAAAGGGUGCGUAGGCGGAAUGAUAAGUCAGCGGUGAAAUCCCUCGGCUUAACCGAGGAACUGCCGUUGAUACUGUCAAUCUUGAGUACAUUUGAUGUGGGCGGAAUGUGUCAUGGUAGCGGUGAAAUGCUUAGAUAUGACACAGAACACCGAUUGCGAAGGCAGCUCACAAAACUGUAACUGACGCCUGAGGCACGAAAGCGUGGGUAUCAAACAGG
RNAcentral lists this ribosomal RNA (255 nucleotides) under uncultured bacterium. RNAcentral describes it as "partial 16S ribosomal RNA". It matches the Rfam family "Bacterial small subunit ribosomal RNA", at positions 524 to 776 of the family's 1533-position model. The record is from RNAcentral.